GGAGGAAGAAGAGCUCAGAUAGAAAAGGAGGGAGCUACUCUCAGGCUGCAAGCAGUGACAGUGCCCAGGGCUCUGAUGUGUCCCUCACAGCUUGUAAAGUGUGAGACAGCUGCCUUGUGUGGGACUGAGAGGCAAGAGUUGUUCCUGCCCUUCCCUUUGUGACUUGAAGAACCCUGACUUUGUUUCUGCAAAGGCACCUGCAUGUGUCUGUGUUCGUGUAGGCAUAAUGUGAGGAGGUGGGGAGACCACCCCACCCCCAUGUCCACCAUGACCCUCUUCCCACGCUGACCUGUGCUCCCUCCCCAAUCAUCUUUCCUGUUCCAGAGAGGUGGGGCUGAGGUGUCUCCAUCUCUGUCUCAACUUCAUGGUGCACUGAGCUGUAACUUCUUCCUUCCCUAUUAAAAUUAGAACCUUAGUAUAAAUUUACUUUCUCAAAUUCUUGCCAUGAGAGGUUGAUGAGUUAAUUAAAGGAGAAGAUUCCUAAAAUUUGAGAGACAAAAUAAAUGGAAGACAUGAG
This 517-nucleotide long non-coding RNA is filed under the name Homo sapiens (human). RNAcentral describes it as "HSALNT0103637". Lineage: Eukaryota; Metazoa; Chordata; Mammalia; Primates; Hominidae. The record is from RNAcentral.